GGGCGAUUAACUCAGCGGAAGAGUGCCACCUUCACACGGUGGAAGUCGCAAGUUCGAACCUUGCAUCGCCCA
This 72-nucleotide transfer RNA is filed under the name Pseudomonadota bacterium. RNAcentral describes it as "tRNA-Val". It matches the Rfam family "tRNA". Rfam says of the family: Transfer RNA (tRNA) molecules are approximately 80 nucleotides in length. Their secondary structure includes four short double-helical elements and three loops (D, anti-codon, and T loops). Lineage: Bacteria; Pseudomonadati; Pseudomonadota. RNAcentral also lists the same sequence under 1 other name. The record is from RNAcentral.